This is a long non-coding RNA of Athalia rosae (coleseed sawfly), 5437 nucleotides long. RefSeq lists it as uncharacterized. The transcript is spliced from 2 exons. NCBI's taxonomy places the organism in Eukaryota, Metazoa, Arthropoda, Insecta, Hymenoptera, Athaliidae. The record is from RefSeq and is a predicted model, not a curated record.
GUCGCCGUCGCCCAACACCUACGCACCCCUCCGCAUAUGGAACUAUAUAGAACGACUCCGGAUUCCCGACUUCGUCGUCGUCGGCUACGAGGACGAGCCGCUACCGCGAUAUAAUAUCCCUGCAGCACGUAUAAAGAGAGCGAGUGUAUCGGGGCACGUGUACGUGCACCCAUACGUGGGCAGGGUCGGCGGGUCGGUUCUCUUUCGCGCGGAGGUGAGAGAGGAGAGGAGAGGAGAGGAGAGGAGAGAAAAGGGAGAGAAGGGAGAGAAGAGAGCGCGGCGUAGGAGCCUCGGAGAUCACAGUGCCGCGGCAAGCAUAAGCCUUCUACACAGCCGGCGCGGCGGUACAUACUUACUAUCGAAGGAUCAAUACACAAGAGGGCUUCGGGGUGGUUGAAAGGGGGGGAAUGGAUGGUGAGCAGAGUUGGGCAGAGGAAUGAGGGGGAGAGGGGGAUAUGCACCAACUCGCCAAGGCUCGUUCGUCGUCCGUCCAUCGCGUCGGUCCGUCGAUCCGCUGCCUCCGUACCGCUCUCUCUCUCUCUCUACGGUACAGCGCAAAUAUCGCGCGGGUGUAUACACCCCCACGACGUUCCACGUAACGCACAUGCCGUCCGUGAACGCGUGCAUCGCGAUCACCCGGGUAAAUAACGUGCGAAGAAGAAAACCGGGGCGAGGGGGGGAAGGGAAAUGAAAUUUGAGAAAAUUCGAUAAUUGCGUAACCCAUUUUAUAGGGCGAAUCGAUCACACCCCCCCCCUCCCCCCCUUCCUGCGAGAAAGGCAGGAAUAUAGAAAUAUCGACACCCCGUGCGGCGUAUGCACAGGGGUAAGUAGAACUUUGAAGGAGAGAGAGAGAGAAAGAGAUGAACGUACAGAACGCGAAUCGCGGGGAUCUGUAUUAACGUUAAAUUGUGUGCACAUUAUCGUUAUGGAACGUGGGACAUAUCAUCGGUGGCGGGGUAUGCGAGGUAUUAUAAUGGUGGUAUGCAUAAUAUAAUGGCGCGGUGCCGCUUCGGAUCUCGCGGUAUAACUUCUGGUGGCUGAUUUUCCAGGCAGGCGGGCAAACGGGCGGGCAGGGGGCAGUCGCGAGCAGGCGGGCGCUGUAUAGUUGAACGAGAGGACGACAACCGAUCGUAUCACCCGCUACUACCGCGAGAGAACCCGACGACGACGACGACGACGACGACGACGAAGCGGUGUAUAAAUAGUCGUAGAAUACGGACGUACGUAUAGAGAGACAACAGGUCGAACGCCCCUCUUAUUAGUCGAUGCUCUCGCUGCCCGCUGCCGUUUCGAUAAAACAAUCUACGUGUACACGCGCCGGUUUAAAACAUCGAAAUUUUUCAACCGUUCGUUGUGCGGGAGUCACAUUUUUUUUCAUCAACUCCCGCCGUAGCACGGGGUGAUCUUGAACCCUGUAGCUUUUUCGAAAAGGGAGAAUAGGGAAUAAAAGGCGUCAUCGAACGUCUGUCGCUCGUUGCGGAAGGGUAUACGUAAUCGAUUACGAGGCGCCGCACGGUGCACGUAGAUAUACGUAUGUGUGUUUACGUGCGAAAGUCGUUGCGAAAUGUACAUCGCGAAUGGAAAUAAUAAGGCGUACGAACGACCCGGGGGAGACUAGUACGCGCGUAUUAUCCUUACGGAUUCGCAGGUAGCCCAGCUGCAGGUUGAGCGCGUGUAUAUAUAUUUUCGAACCCCGUACAGCCAUGCUCGAUAUUAGAAAAAGCGAGAGGGGACCGCGAGAGGGAUAAAUAUAUUUAUGCAAAGAGAGGAGAGCAGGAGAGUAAGAAGAAAAGGAAGAAAGGGAGGGUAGAGAGGGCAUUGCGUAUAUAUUUCGCCGGGGUACUUGAAGGAGGUAAGGUCGAUACGCGGAGCUGUACGAUCCACGUGGUGCAUUACCGGAUUCCCGCAAGCAAGCUUUUGACUCGAGUUGGCCGUCGACUCGGCUCGACUCAACUCAACUUGGUGUUCCACUCGAUAUCUACAUCGUGAUCGUCGUCGUGGUGCCGAAGAGACGAAGGAGAGAGAGAAAGAGAGAGAGAGAGAGAGAGAGAGGGGGGGGGAGAGUAGCGUAGUCGGUACGUACAAUACACGGAGGCGACGCCAUCGCAGGGACUCCGGAUAGUUCUAUAUAAUCCCGGACAAAACUGGUGGUUGGGGGGUUGCACUGUGCGGCAGUAUGUACAAUAACGUACGUAUGUAUAUGCACACACGUACGUUAUUGUACAUACACGUAGUUAUAUACGCGCAAUAGAAUUGAUAAUAUACAGGUUUUCCCGGGUAUACCGGGAGACAAUUCAGCCCUCUCUUCGCUGACGCUGACCUCUGCUCCGACAAAUUUUAUUCAAUAAUUUCCCAUUUAUUCCAAAUUUUACCCCGCUGGCAUUCGUCGUCGUGUCGCGUGGGCGAUACGCGGCGAACGAAUCGUCCCGUUCGAAGGAUUCGAAAAAUUUCACCCUCGUUUCCCCAAUCCGCCGUCUACCCCCCCCCCCCCCCCCCCCCAUUCGGUAUUCGUGCGUUACGGGAUAUCGAAAUGACGAUGAACAGCUGAUGGCUGGCGGUAAUAUAUUACAAUAUUACAGAUUAAUAAUAAGUGGCGCUGCAGUUAAACACACGGGGGAUUCCCCUUCGAUCAGACGCCUUUAUCGAUUGCGGGUGAACCUCCGCGUGAGGCGUGACCUUGUUCGCCACCGCUAGCUGAGCGAGUAAAGGAAAGAAGAAACUUAUUGUACAUAGGUGCGGAUGGCGGAUGAAGAAUCGCCUAUUUUUUAUCGCCGAACUAUCGAGUGAAGAUAAAUGAGACAAACCGAUCGAACUCGUCGUAUUAAAUAGAUCGGACUUUUCAAUAUCCGCGAUAAAUCAUUUAUCGAUGAAUGGACAUAUCUCUGAAUGAAUCAAUAGUUGAUGGGGAAAUGGGAAAAAAAUACUAGAAAUAGAAGGAGAAUGAGCUGAAGAUGAAGAGGAAGACGAAAAAAAAGAGUAGAUGGAAACAGGCAAAGAAGAAGAGGCGCUGCUUGCUUCCACCUUGGCUGCAUCAGUAGCGGCAGCAGCAGCAGGGCGCCGGGCAGGGUCCGACGAGGACGGGGGCGUCGUUUUCUGUUUUGCACCCGCGAACAGGAUGAGCGUCGCGAAAACUAAUGCGCUCUUUGACCUCAAUCUUACGCUUACCAGGUUGGAAAUCAAUACGCAGCGUUGAACCAUGGACAUCGUAGCGAUUAAGAGUGAACAGUAUUAUAUAAAGCCCGCUGUCAGAAAUAAUAAUAUGACUAAUAUAACCCCCUCGAAAUAUCGUGGCAACUACGAGCGCUUUAUUUAUUCAAUUUUCAUUUUUGUUGCUCACACGACUGUCGCGACUCGAUAGCAUACCGAUAACGUGAAGGGAUCGAAGUAAAUUUUCCGACGAUUCGUUUCCAGUGUGAUCGACGUCGAAUCAAUUAUGUAGAUAUUUAUUCGACCACAAUUCUGGGAUCGAAGAAUUGCCAAAAUGGCGUCGCGUGACAUCGGGCUACUUUUGCUCACAUCGGUAAGACGUUGAUAUGAAAAUCGCAAUUCUACAUCUCGUUAUAUUUCGUAGAUUUGAUCUCCAUGGUAAUCGCCGUGUUGUAAUAGUCUUCAAAGGACUUGUACGCGUUAACAACUACGACGUCAUCACAUCCAGGAGACCUAUAGUAGCCAGGACAAAGAACAGGAUCGCGAUGCUAAAUGGAGGGGAGAAACUGAGGAAUUACAUUUCAAAGACUGCCUGCGUCGAAGAGGAAGUCGGUAUGAUAUUCUGGAUGCUCCCGUGGUAUGGAAGUUUCUUAUACCACCGCGCAAUUCCGUCUAUAUAUACGUUCUAACCGCCCAUUUCGCAGGAUCGUCCUCCGAACAAACCCCUAAAAUUCAACGAUUUUAGACUUUUUUUUUCCCCUCUCCAUCAACUGCGCAAAACCUAUUCGAGCACUAUGGAUCUGGUUGUGCGAGAACGUUGCCGCCGCGGCAUUUUUAAUUCCGAUCAAACAUUCGGCAAUAAUCCUAAGAUCGGACGUGGAUUUCUUUUUUUCGUAAAUAAACCGGAAAUUUUGAUAACCGAUAAUUCGUAUUACAUUACACGCGGAACGAAAUCGAAAUGAUGAAAAAGAGGAAAACCCAAAAAAAAAAAAACAUGGACGCCGUUAUCGUUACAGAAAAAUGCAGAGACUAUUCUCCAUAUGGUCGCAUCUUUCACACCGUGGACCGGAAAUCGUUGGGUAUUGGCAGCUUCCUCUAUAUAUACAUACAUAUACAUAGUUAAAUUUAAAUCGUGUAGAAGAACUUUCGAGAGUUUUAAAUCAACGGAAAUCCUCUCAGCUGUUACGAAGCUGCAGGAACAACGUUCAUGCAUGCGUCACUGCAACGUACCGCAAGUUAUUCCACCAUGGGGUUGCAGCAGGUGAUUAAUCACCGAUGCAAUUUUAAUUUUCAAUGCUUCUUUUCGUCUCUAUAUCUAUUCAUUCUUUUUCAAUUCAAUUGACAAACAAACUGGAGUCUUUGCCGAACUCUAGAGCAAUCUAUAAUCAAUAACUCUCAACUUUUUGAUUGCUUUAUCAUAACGAGUGCAAUGCAUCGGUUUUUUUCUCCUUUUUUUUUUUUUCAAUAAUAUUUUUUCGCUCAAAAAUGUGUAAUUUGUGCAGCGGAACGACGGUAUCUGAUGUGUCUAUUGAAAAACGUGACGCCAUGGAAAUAAAUAAUUUACGCAAAUAAUAAGGUGACCUUCGAAACUUUGUAAUAACCGUUUGAAUAAUCUGUGUGUAUCGUGCGAACGAGAGAAUUUAAAAUAGGUUUAUCACAUUAUAGAAACUAUACUGCAUUUAUAAGACUUCUCAAAGGACGGUACCUAAAUAAUAACAGUCUUAUGAACGCGUACUCAUUGAAAAAUUUAAUUACCAUAAACGCGAAACUGAUGAUACAUAUAUGUAUGCAUUAUAGGUAUAUCGAGAUAGAGAGAGAGAAGAAAAAUUUGCACUUCUGUAAAAACGAUAAAUUCACGUAGACAAACAAUCGGUAAUCAAGUAGAGUAAAAAAUAACACAUGAAUGAAAUAAUAAAUAAAUUGAAGAGAAAAUUAUUAUCGUUAAUUUUACAGGCAUUUUUGUUACCGACGUGGCAGUGAAUCGAGGUUUGACCACAGAGUGACUAAAAAUUAAAAUGUCGAGGUGGAUAUUUCAUUUGAAGUGCGUUAUGUGAAAAUUAUAAUAUGUAUUUAUAACUGAGUGAUAUAACGGGAAUGAGAAACAACAUUUGGAACACGCGACCCGUAUAAGAUACUUUGUAUAAAUGAAUCUUAGAAUCCGACGAUCGUCAUAAACUCCGUAGAACGAUCGUAAAGUUCAUAAUUCUAUCGCGAUAAUACCUUACAGAAAUUAAUUACGAAUUUGUGAUUAAAUUAAUAUGAAAUUACAAAUGCCCGAAUUUUCACCAUA